AUAUAGUUAAAUUUGUUUAUCUCAGGUAAAAAAGAACAUGGUUUCUGAGAACUUGCCAAUGGGAAUUUUGUUCUUUUCUCAAACAGCUGUGGGAAUCCUUGGCAAUUGGUCAAUUCUUCUUCAUUAAGUCAUGUCUGUAAUCACUGGAAAAAGUUUGAUGUUCAAAGACCAAAUUUUAAAGCAACUGACUGUAGCCAAUUCCAUGGUUAUUAUCUCAAGAGCCAUACCUCACAUAAUGGUACAGCUGGGGUUGCGAUAUCUCCUGGAUGACCUUUUAUGUAAACUUAACUUUCUACAGUAAUUGAGUGUCCCAGGGUGUUUCCCUACACUGCACCUGCCUCUUGAGUUAUUUCCAAGCAAUCAUAAUCAACCUGAGCCACUCCAGGUGGAUGAAGCUUGCACACUCAUUCUCUUAAGUACACGAUUCGGUUCUGCUCUCUAAGCUGGCUUGUGUAUCUCCUUCUAAACAUCAGGGCAGCUAUAUAUGUGAUUGGACCAAAUACUAAUAAAAUUUUCACCAGAAAAAUCAAAUUGGGUUACUGCUCCACAUUCCCCUUUGGCAAUGCUGUAUUUGUACUAUAUCUAUUCUUGCUUUGUUUCACUGAUGGUCUGUGUUUGAGUCUCAUGGUCUGGACCAGUGUCUCGAUAAUGAACAUUCUCUAUAGGCACAAGAGUCAGCUACAGUAUAUCCACAAUCCUCAGCAUUCACUCAGCGUGCCCCCUGAAGACAAAGCCAUAAAAACCAUCUUGAUCCUUGUGUGCACUUUUGUCUUCUACUCAAUGUCCUUCAUACUUGUUAUCUAUACUGUUCUAUUUGACAAUCCAAGGCUGUGGCUAAUAAACAUAUUUACAUUCUUAGACACAUGCUUCCCUUCAUUUUGCCCCUUCAUCCUUAUAAGUAAUAACUAAUCCACUCCCAAGAAUCACUUUCCCUGCUGUAGCAGAAGGUAA
This 951-nucleotide long non-coding RNA is filed under the name Mus musculus (house mouse). RNAcentral's name for it is "long non-coding RNA chr7:12214594-12215545". The record is from RNAcentral. Lineage: Eukaryota; Metazoa; Chordata; Mammalia; Rodentia; Muridae.